UAGGUCACCAGUUUGACUCUCU
This 22-nucleotide microRNA is filed under the name Echinops telfairi (small Madagascar hedgehog). Lineage: Eukaryota; Metazoa; Chordata; Mammalia; Afrosoricida; Tenrecidae. The record is from RNAcentral.